GGUUAAAAGGCUCGUAGUUGGAUUUCUGUCGAAGACUGCCGGUCCGCUCUAUGAGCGUGUAUCUAGUUAGGCUUUGGCAUCCUCUUGAAGAACGUUGCUGUGCUUAAUUGCAUGGUGCGGUAUUCAAGACUUUUACUUUGAGGAAAUUAGAGUGUUCACGGCAGGCAAGCGCCUUGAAUACAUUAGCAUGGAAUAAUAAUAUAGGAUCGCGAUUCUAUUUUGUUGGUUUCUAGAAUCACGAUAAUGAUUAAUAGGGAUAAUUGGGGGCAUUUGUAUUAACGCGUCAGAGGUGGAAUUCUUGGAUUGCGUUACGACAAACUACUGCGAAAGCAUUUGCCAAGGAUGUUUUCAUUGAUCAAGAACGAAAGUAUGGGGAUCGAAGAUGAUA
This 388-nucleotide ribosomal RNA is filed under the name uncultured marine eukaryote. RNAcentral's name for it is "SSU rRNA". It matches the Rfam family "Eukaryotic small subunit ribosomal RNA", at positions 617 to 1009 of the family's 1831-position model. The record is from RNAcentral.